Hyla sarda is the source of this 3458-nucleotide long non-coding RNA. RefSeq lists it as uncharacterized. The transcript has 5 exons. The record is from RefSeq and is a predicted model, not a curated record. NCBI's taxonomy places the organism in Eukaryota, Metazoa, Chordata, Amphibia, Anura, Hylidae.
CAACUUUUCCUCUGGACAGGUUUUGAUGAAUCUCCCCCUAUGAGUGGUCGACAAGGACCACUCACAACUGUUACGGACGUCUUCGAUAAAAAGGGAGAAAUCUUCGGUUGCUGCGACACUCCUCUCUGAACAGUGACAUGCAUUAGAGACUGGCUUGAAGAAGCAACGUGAAAGCGUGAAACAGCCUGUCCCAGUCACGUCCCCCACCUCCACCACUGCACCUGUUCGUCACGACUGGAAUGCUUCAAUAAAGCUCAGUUGAAUGGUUGUGAAUGCAAAACACACUGAAGAGACUGCAGUCGGCGCGCACCUCCUUGUACAGCUUACGAUGACAUCAUCACAAGCAUGUGUGACAUCACAGGGUUCUAAACCCUCUUCAGGGAUAUUGAAAAGUUUCUGUCUGGUUCUCCCAAAGAUUAAAGCUGAUUCUUGCAGUUCCCAGCAUCCUGCAAUCACAGUAUAACUGGAGGACCCUUCUCAUAUACAAAUAUCGAUAACAAUAAUGACAAGCAUAAACCCAGAAGGUUUAACAAAUAUAACAAACUGCUCGGAGAUAGGACACGCAGGUCCACAAGGAAAAAAAACAUGGGAAGGUGCCAACACACAAUAGCACGGGCAUUGGAAGACUAUAUCUGCUUGAAGAUAGGACAUGCAGGCCCACAAGAAAAAAAUAACAUAAAAGGUGCCAACACAAUAACACGGACAUUGGAGAACCAUAUAUUGUCAAUAGUAUAGCUAAUGAGAGGACAUUAGUAGGAAAAGAAAACAAAUGGGAAAAAGAAGAGAAGACAGGAGAAGAGGGAAAAGCAAAGAAAAGAGGGCAAAAGUCAAAAGAGGGAACCAAGCGACAACACAAAGAAGACGAAGAGACGGGGAACAAACCAGACCAGAUCUGGGCAUGGAUAUGUUGGCAGGCGAUUUUAUGUUGCUGCAGACAGAUCCAUGCCACAGAGACAAAAAAAAGUGAUGUAAAUGCUCUCUAAUGGGAAUAAUGGGCUAUGUGACGAAACAGAGUACAGUAUGUGUCCAUUUGCACCUGCAUCUCUCCAGCACUAUGGAUUAUGAGACCGUUCUGUUACUGUAUAACUUUAAUAUUGCAUCUUCAGCUAACAGUGGAAAAUAACAAUGGUUGUCCCCCUGACACAGCACUUAGACAACCUGAACUCCUCGAUUGCUGGUUGACAUUUUACUGAUGCUUUAUUUCUUUUCCUAGUAAUGAUCCCUAUAGUCAGACAAGCUGCGUUCCUGCGAGUGUCAGUAAUAAAAGCCAUGUAUGCAGCUGUAGGGUUCACAUAGUUCCUCCUCCCUGCAGUGUGUUUUAGAGUGGAGGAUACUUGAAGGAUUGUUUAUUAUAGUAAUAAAGUACAGACCUGCGCUGCGAUAAAUCACCUUGACAGCCUCAGGAGGUGAGCAAGGACUUAUCAUGAGUUUCAUAAUGUCUCGCUUCUUCUAUACGUGCUGAGAAAAAAGUGUUUAGGACUUGCGGCAUCUUAAAUCUGUAAACAAGAAGAGUGCUCAGGUGGGGCUGACAUGUCCAGGCACAUGGGGCAUCCCUUACAAAGUAUCCUCCAUUAAUAAGAAAUAAAAGUCAUUCAACAUAUUUCUUCACUCAAAAUGUAAAAAAUUCUUAUUCAACUGUUCCUUGUCAAUCUGUUUUUUGGGAAAGUAGUUAAAUAUUGAUUUGAAGGGAUGUUGGAAGAAGCGGCUGACAUGUUGGGUAGUACAGUUGGCAAGACCUCCAUUGGAUAACCAAGUCCCCUUCAGCCCAGACUGCACAGCUCCAUAGAUAUAAUAGGACCCAUUGGGCCAUCCAACAUUCCUGCCAGGCCUCCUGUCAUCACUUUAAACAUCUAGGAAGAGAAUAUGAAAUGGUAGCAAAGCAAGUAUCUGAUCGGACUGUAGCUUCUGUUCAAUCCAUAACAUUGUUAGUGUCUAGUGUAGGCCCACUAUCCUGUAAUGACCACCAUGUCCCUUCACCACCCACCAACAAUUUAAUAUGGACUUUGUAUCCUUCCAUCCCAUAGAGUAGCAUGGUGCCCUGACUUUAUUUUACAUUUUGUUUUGUUGAGGUCUGGUGCUAAAAAAAAAGUUUAAAAAAUUCCACAACAAUCUACACUUAAUAUCCCAUAAUGAAAAUGUGAAAUCUUUGACAUUUUUGCAAAUGUAAUACAUUUUUGUUUUUUACAUGGACAUAAGCAUUCCAACACUCGAAUAAUGUUUCUACACCUUAAAUGGAGUACACUAGUGCUAAUUUCACUUGUUCGGACAUGAUUUGGAAACAAACAGCCCCGUCUAUAUAAGGUCUCACAGCUGACAAUGUAUAUCAGAGCAAAUACUACGCCAUGUGCAGGAAAUAACUUCCUGUAGAGCUCAGAGACUUGUGUGGAAGCACAGAGGAUUGUGUGAAGGUACAGAUCUGGAGAAGGGUACAAAACAUUUGUAGUGUUCUGAAAGUUCCCAAGAGCACAGUGGCCGCCGUAAUUCUUAAAUGGAACAACCAGGACUUUACCUAGAGCUGGCCGCCCCACCUAACUAAUUGAUUGAGGGAGAAGAUGACCAAGAACCCAAUGGCCAUUCUGGCUGAGCUUCAAAGAUCCUGUGUACACUCUACCAAUCUGGGCUUUAUGGCACAGUGGCCAGAAAGAUGCCUUUUCUCAGUAAAAGACACUGGAAAUUCUAUCUGGAGUUUGCAAAAAAACACACCUAAAGUAUUCUCAGACUGCGAGAAACAAGGUUCUUUUGUCUGAUGAAACCAAAAUUGAACUUUUGCUUCAAUUCUAAGCAUGUCUUAAGGAAAACAGGCACUUCUCAUGAUCUGCCCUAUACCAUCCCUACAGUGAGGCAUAAUGGUGGCAGUAUCAUUCUAUGGGGGUGUUUUUCAGUGGCUGGAGCAUGGAAUACUGGUAGGGUUUAGGAAAAGUUAAAUGUAGCAAUGUACAGAAAUAUUCUUAAUGAAAACCUGAUCCAUAAUGCUCUGGACCUCAGACUGGGCUGAAGGUUCACCUUCCAACAAGAAAAUGGCCCCAAUCACAUGGGCAAUAUAACACAGGAGCAGCUGAGGAACAACUCUGUGAAUGGCCUACAGUGACCCAGCCAGGUCUCUGACUUUAAACUCAAUCAAACAUCUCCAGAGAGACCUGGAAAUUGCUUUCAAAUCCCCAAAUGCAGAGGUGCAAACCUUGUGGAAUAAUACCCAAGUAGACUGUAAUCGCUGCCAAAGAGGCUUCAACUAAAUACUGUGUACUUAUGUCAGUGCAUUGUUUAAAGAGUACCUUUCAUCAAACUAAACUUUUAAUAUAUUGUUUGUUAUGUAAUUAUAAGACACUUUGCCAUUCACCUUCUGUUAAACUUCUCAACCUUAUUAUGUUUUUGAAUAUGAUUGAAAAAACGGCCACUAGGUGACUCUGUUCUGUUCCCUACGCAACUCAAACAUUUAGUUUGGUCUCCUACCGGGCCGG